Molecule: ribosomal RNA, 559 nt
Filed under: uncultured Clostridium sp.
Lineage: Bacteria; Bacillati; Bacillota; Clostridia; Eubacteriales; Clostridiaceae
Description: bacterial SSU rRNA
Rfam family: Bacterial small subunit ribosomal RNA
Source: RNAcentral
AGCGGCGGACGGGUGAGUAACGCGUGGGUAACCUGCCUCAUACAGGGGGAUAACACAGGGAAACUUGUGCUAAUACCGCAUAACAUAACGAGGCGGCAUCGCUUUGUUAUCAAAGGAGCAAUCCGGUAUGAGAUGGGCCCGCGUCCGAUUAGCUAGUUGGUGAGGUAACGGCUCACCAAGGCGACGAUCGGUAGCCGAACUGAGAGGUUGAUCGGCCACAUUGGGACUGAGACACGGCCCAGACUCCUACGGGAGGCAGCAGUGGGGAAUAUUGCGCGAUGGGGGCAACCCUGACGCAGCAACGCCGCGUGAAGGAAGAAGGCCUUCGGGUUGUAAACUUCUUUGAUCGGGGACGAAAAAUGACGGUACCCGAGGAACAAGCCACGGCUAACUACGUGCCAGCAGCCGCGGUAAUACGUAGGUGGCAAGCGUUGUCCGGAAUUACUGGGCGUAAAGGGCGUGUAGGCGGGGAAGCAAGUCAGAUGUGAAAUUCCGAGGCUUAACCUCGGCGCUGCAUCUGAAACUGUUUCUCUUGAGUGCUGGAGAGGAAAGUGGAAUU